Molecule: non-coding RNA, 1858 nt
Organism: Malus domestica (apple)
Lineage: Eukaryota; Viridiplantae; Streptophyta; Magnoliopsida; Rosales; Rosaceae
Source: RefSeq, a predicted model, not a curated record
CGCUGGCCCUCAUUCUCACAAAAGGCGAACCAAUACCCUGGACGAUGCCGUUUCAAUGCCGCGGCAAACAGGCGCUGAAAAAUGGAGGGAGUUCCGGCGCCGCUUCCGACGCCGCAAUCGAAACCUUAAGAACCAGAGGAUGGUGCUUCGCGACCACGAACAAGUGGAGGCGAUGAUCCUGCUCCACUCCGCCUUGUCCGACGACAAGCGUACGGUGGUGAAUUCAGUGGAAGCCGAGCUCACCAACAUGGUCCUCAAAUCUAUCUCCGCUAGGUCCUUGCCCGACCCGCAUACGCUCCAAAUGUCCUCUCACCUCCUCGGCUCCAAGGUCCUCCAGGCAUAACUCAUGGGGAUGAUACAAUCAUGGGCAGAUUACUCUAGUCUGAUGUUAGCUCCAGGAGUAGUGGACUAUCGCCAGAAAUACUGAGGUUAGAUCAGUUGGAAGGCAGCAGAACCUUCAAUUGAAAGCAAGAGGAUAAAAAUUAUAAAAAAAUUGAGACAGAUAACAGACAGAAGGCAGAUUCCCUUGAUGAAAGAACUCAAGACAAACCGAGUAGCUCAGCAACGAAACCAACCAGCUGCACAAAAUCUUCCUCAAAAAAUGAGUCAUCGAAACCGUGAUGACAAGCAUUCAAGAGGCAGACAGUUUGGGGGAAAAGGGGAGGCAAGAGGAAGAGCCCGAUGGGAAAAGAGAAAAGCCGGGGCAAAGCCUUCAAUUGGAGGUGCCUGUACAGGUAGUAGUCGUGAUGAGGAACUUGCACGGCAGCUCCAAAAUCAAUUUGAUUUGGAUGAUUAUCAUGUACAAAAGUGUCCUCAUGAUGUGGAUGCAGAGAAUAUUAAAAUGAGCAUGUUCAGCUACCAAAAAGCUGUCUCCUUUUAUUUUUAUUUUUUUAAUUGAAGUCCAUAAACACGUGUAAGCUAUAUUUGUUGUGUUCAUUUUGUUUUACUGUGUCUGUGUGACAUCUUAACCUGAUGGUGUUUACAGAAGGACACAACAUGUAGAUGUAGCAAAUGUGUUUUGUAAGGGCCGAAGAAACUGAUCAUGGGCAGGUGUUUGCAAUUGGUUUUCAGGUAAGGGAUGUAAUUAGCACUCAUAAAGUGGGGAACAGUCAAAGUUCACCAUUUUUAGAAUAAGUGGCAAUAGCGGAACUGAGAAAUGAAAUUGUAGAGCGCAUGUAUAUUUAUCCUUCGAAAGUGUAGUUUUUGGGAACACAAUUUCAUGCACAAUUCAUAUUUUUGCUUUUCAUUUUUUUCUGUUUGUUCUGUUAAUGGUUAAGAAGACAUGAAUCAUAUGUAUGUAAAUAUUGCAUAUCGUAUAUAUACCUAGAACUUUUGACAUGUUUUAUAUGGUUUUAAAACCUGUAGCAUCACUAGUAGAAACUAAAAUCGGUGAAGGAAGCUUUUGAACUCAUCAGAGUGGAAGGGAAGUGGAGAAAAUUUCCGAGAUAUUCUAUUGAGCAAUCCAUCAUUUCUGAGUCUUGCAAAUGAGAUUUUUUUUAUCUUAACAGGAACAACCCAACUCCGCCUAUGUCUUACAUGGCCGGUCCCAAGCCCGGAUAAAGGAGGAGGGGGAGGGCGUCAGGUAGUCGACAGCCGGCACUCCAUGAUCACGUCGAAUCCUUAUGAAAAUGAACAGGAACAACCCUACAAUCUUACAGACAACUUCCUUAUAAAGUUUUGGAGAAUCCAACAGAAGACUCUUUUGAUUGCGCAAACGAGUUCAUCGACUGCAAAGGUAUUAGAAAAGGUAAUAAAUCUUUUAGUAAAUGUAGAGUCAAAAGGUAGUAGAAACCAUUGAUUGGCAUCUUGAGGCUAUCAUUGAUUUUCUUUCUAACCUUAAAAGUAAAUUCGAGUAGUA